This 481-nucleotide ribosomal RNA is filed under the name uncultured bacterium. Its description in RNAcentral is "bacterial SSU rRNA". It matches the Rfam family "Bacterial small subunit ribosomal RNA", at positions 30 to 507 of the family's 1533-position model. The record is from RNAcentral.
AUUGAACGCUGGCGGAAUGCUUUACACAUGCAAGUCGAACGGUAGAGGGGGCAACCCCUCGAGAGUGGCGAACGGGUGAGUAAUAUAUCGGAACGUGCCCAGUCGUGGGGGAUAACGUAGCGAAAGUUACGCUAAUACCGCAUACGAUCUACGGAUGAAAGCGGGGGAUCGCAAGACCUCGCGCGAUUGGAGCGGCCGAUAUCAGAUUAGGUAGUUGGUGGGGUAAAGGCUCACCAAGCCAACGAUCUGUAGCUGGUCUGAGAGGACGACCAGCCACACUGGAACUGAGACACGGUCCAGACUCCUACGGGAGGCAGCAGUGGGGAAUUUUGGACAAUGGACGCAAGUCUGAUCCAGCCAUUCCGCGUGCAGGAUGAAGGCCCUCGGGUUGUAAACUGCUUUUGUACGGAACGAAAAGGGUUUCUAUUAAUACUAGGAGCUCAUGACGGUACCGUAAGAAUAAGCACCGGCUAACUACGUG